This 395-nucleotide ribosomal RNA is filed under the name uncultured Orbiliaceae. Its description in RNAcentral is "LSU rRNA". It matches the Rfam family "Eukaryotic large subunit ribosomal RNA", at positions 229 to 641 of the family's 3401-position model. Lineage: Eukaryota; Fungi; Ascomycota; Orbiliomycetes; Orbiliales. The record is from RNAcentral.
UGCAGGCUUGCUUCUAUGUGAAACUCCUUCGAAGAGUCGAGUUGUUUGGGAAUGCAGCUCAAAAUGGGUGGUAAAUUUCAUCUAAAGCUAAAUAUUGGCGGGAGACCGAUAGCGCACAAGUAGAGUGAUCGAAAGAUGAAAAGCACUUUGAAAAGAGAGUUAAACAGUACGUGAAAUUGUUGAAAGGGGAGCGCUUGCAAUCAGACUCGCCUUCAGUUGAUCAGCCUUCCUUCUGGUGGGUGCACUCUGCUGUUGGUGGGCCAGCAUCAGUUGGGGCGGUGGGACAAAGGCGGCAGGAAUGUGGCUCGCUUCGGUGAGUGUUAUAGCCUGCUGUAUCAUGCCACCAGCCCUGACUGAGGUCCGCGGUUCGCCUAGGAUGCUGGCUUAAUGGUUGU